GACGAACGCUGGCGGCGUGCCUAAUACAUGCAAGUCGGGCGGAAGUUGGAGAGCUUGCUCUUCAACUUUAGCGGCGGACGGGUGAGUAACACGUGGGCAACCUGCCCUGCAGAUCGGGAUAACUCCGGGAAACCGGUGCUAAUACCGAAUAGUUUUCGCCACCUCCUGGUGGCGUACGGAAAGACGGUUUCGGCUGUCACUGCAGGAUGGGCCCGCGGCGCAUUAGCUAGUUGGUGGGGUAACGGCCCACCAAGGCAACGAUGCGUAGCCGACCUGAGAGGGUGAUCGGCCACACUGGGACUGAGACACGGCCCAGACUCCUACGGGAGGCAGCAGUAGGGAAUCUUCCGCAAUGGACGAAAGUCUGACGGAGCAACGCCGCGUGAGUGACGAAGGUUUUCGGAUCGUAAAACUCUGUUGUGAGGGAAGAACAAGUACCACUUAACUACUGGUACCUUGACGGUACCUCACCAGAAAGCCACGGCUAACUACGUGCCAGCCGCCGCGGUAA
Molecule: ribosomal RNA, 511 nt
Filed under: uncultured bacterium
Lineage: Bacteria
Description: partial 16S ribosomal RNA
Rfam family: Bacterial small subunit ribosomal RNA
Source: RNAcentral